AGCGAACGCUGGCGGCGUGCUUAACACAUGCAAGUCGAGCGAGAAAGGGGGCUUCGGCCCCUCGAGUACAGCGGCGAACGGGUGAGGAAUACAUGGGUAACCUACCCUCGAGUGGGGAAGUAACUAGCCGAAAGGUUAGCUAAUACCGCGUACGCUUCUUGGACUUCGGUUCAGGGAGGAAAGCGAUGCCGAGGGUAUCGCGCUCUUGGAUGGGCUCAUGUCCUAUCAGCUUGUUGGGAGGUAACGGCUCACCAAGGCUUCGACGGGUAGCUGGUCUGAGAGGACGAUCAGCCACACUGGCACUGCGACACGGGCCAGACUCCUACGGGAGGCAGCAGUAAGGAAUAUUGCGCAAUGGGCGAAAGCCUGACGCAGCGACGCCGCGUGGGGGAGUGAAGGUC
RNAcentral lists this ribosomal RNA (401 nucleotides) under uncultured bacterium. RNAcentral describes it as "bacterial SSU rRNA". It matches the Rfam family "Bacterial small subunit ribosomal RNA", at positions 29 to 416 of the family's 1533-position model. The record is from RNAcentral.